RNAcentral lists this ribosomal RNA (319 nucleotides) under Massilia sp. CFBP 13721. RNAcentral describes it as "partial 23S ribosomal RNA". It matches the Rfam family "Bacterial large subunit ribosomal RNA", at positions 1252 to 1576 of the family's 2925-position model. The record is from RNAcentral. Lineage: Bacteria; Pseudomonadati; Pseudomonadota; Betaproteobacteria; Burkholderiales; Oxalobacteraceae.
GAAGGUGUCUUGUGAAGGAUGCUGGAGGUAUCAGAAGUGCGAAUGCUGACAUGAGUAGCGAUAAUGGGGGUGAAAAGCCUCCACGCCGUAAGCCCAAGGUUUCCUGUUCAACGUUCAUCGGAGCAGGGUGAGUCGGCCCCUAAGGCGAGGCAGAGAUGCGUAGCUGAUGGGAAGCAGGUUAAUAUUCCUGCACCGUCGUAUGAUGCGAUGGGGGGACGGAUCGCGGAAGGUUGUCUGACUGUUGGAAUAGUCAGUUUCUGGUUCAUAGGAGGUACUUAGGCAAAUCCGGGUACAUAAUCCAAGGGGCUGGGACGAGCGG